UGGGGAAUUUUGGACAAUGGGCGAAAGCCUGAUCCAGCAAUGCCGCGUGUGUGAAGAAGGCCUUCGGGUUGUAAAGCACUUUUGUCCGGAAAGAAAUGGCUCUGGUUAAUACCUGGGGUCGAUGACGGUACCGGAAGAAUAAGGACCGGCUAACUACGUGCCAGCAGCCGCGGUAAUACGUAGGGUCCAAGCGUUAAUCGGAAUUACUGGGCGUAAAGCGUGCGCAGGCGGUUGUGCAAGACCGAUGUGAAAUCCCCGAGCUUAACUUGGGAAUUGCAUUGGGGACUGCACGGCUAGAGUGUGUCAGAGGGGGGUAGAAUUCCACGUGUAGCAGUGAAAUGCGUAGAGAUGUGGAGGAAUACCGAUGGCGAAGGCAGCCCCCUGGGAUAACACUGACGCUCAUGCACGAAAGCGUGGGGAGCAAACAGG
RNAcentral lists this ribosomal RNA (429 nucleotides) under bacterium. RNAcentral describes it as "partial 16S ribosomal RNA". It matches the Rfam family "Bacterial small subunit ribosomal RNA", at positions 355 to 776 of the family's 1533-position model. The record is from RNAcentral. RNAcentral also lists the same sequence under 2 other names.